GUGCUUGCUUCAGCAGCACAUAUACUAAAAUUGGAAUGAUACAAAGAUUAGCAUGUCCUCUGCACAAGGAUGACAUGCAAAUUCGUGAAGCAUUCCAUAUUUAA
Small nuclear RNA from Colobus angolensis palliatus, 104 nucleotides. The record is from Ensembl. NCBI's taxonomy places the organism in Eukaryota, Metazoa, Chordata, Mammalia, Primates, Cercopithecidae.